This is a long non-coding RNA of Parus major (Great Tit), 3951 nucleotides long. RefSeq lists it as uncharacterized. The record is from RefSeq and is a predicted model, not a curated record. NCBI's taxonomy places the organism in Eukaryota, Metazoa, Chordata, Aves, Passeriformes, Paridae. The transcript is spliced from 3 exons.
GGAGCGGCUGAGGGGCCGGGCCGGGCGUGCCAGGCUGAGGGGCUCCAGCGCGCCGUCCCUCCAGCUUGCUGUCUCUCCGUCCGUAUGUCCGUCCCUCCCCUCCGGCGGCCCGCGGUGACACAGGCCGGAGAACGCUGAGACAGCGAGGACUGGCCCUGCCUGGCAGGGAGAACACCGCUCCGCAGCGGGAGAGCUGCCAGGAGGGCAGCACCGGUUCUAGGCUGGCUGCGGUAAUGAGGAGGAGCAAGACCGUAAUUGCACCGUGCAGGUUGUUCUCAAUGGGCGCCGUCAGAUCGCCUCCCACAUGAUCUCGUAUGCGCCACACGCGCAGGAACACAUGAAGAACCAUUUUACAAUGAUUGCUAGGGUUUAUAUUUUAACAUACCCCGAGUUUAUGUUGAACCUGUCAGCUAUAAAGUUUGUGGCUUAGCUGUAUUCGUAUGACGUUUGGGAUUCAGAGUGGCAUUCAGAUGGUCUGGCAUUAACAGCAUAAUUAAUAGGUUUUCUUUGUGGAAGGAUGUCGUCAUUUCAGUGGAUCAAGGCUUUCUGGUCCAGCUCUAAGAGAGAGGCUGGAGAAAAGGAGGCACAAGGGUGACUAUCACUCUCUGCAGCUCCCUGAAAGGAUGUUGUGCCAGGACUGCAAGGUAACACACUUCAGAAGCAUGACACUGAUAGAACUACAGAAGGCAGUCUUGAUGCAAGAUCACAUCAUAUCAGUUAUGGGGCCUUGUUGUGAGUCUUUUUUGAGAGCAAAGAGAAAUAUUUGUCUGUCACAUCUGGUAGACGAUGAGAAGAAAAAGCAUGUGCUGAAAUGGAUCCACGAACAUAAGUGAUGUUUUUGUGUCAUAGGAGGAAUACACAAUGCCUGCAAUUAUGCUACAUCUGACAUUCUGUGCUCAGUAACAGAAUGUUACUGAAUUCUGCUUGUGACAGGAUCAAGUAGGACUUUGUUUCUGGACUACUUCCAAACGUGAGGUUGGUCUUCAUGAAAAAUCUGCACAUGUUACCCUUCAGCCACCUGUAAAAAGGAAGCACUUAAAAAAAUUACAAUUUACUUGUUUGCAAGGCCACUAAAUGGAAAUUUUUAAGCCUUUCUUACUCUCUCUUAUUGCAUUAACAAAACCAGAAACCUUCCUGCAGACAAGAACAGAAUAACCACAAAUAUUCUUGUUGGGUUUAUUCAGGGCCUCAUCAUGUGCUGUAUGCUUCACUACCUGUGUAUCUCUGAGUCUUGAUGGGUGUUCAUUUGAAUUUCCUGCUUUUCCACCACACUAGUUAAACCAUCAGCUUUUUCAGCUUUUUUGGGGUUUGGGGGGUUUUUUUGGUUUGAUUUUUUGGUGGUUUUUUUUUUUUUUUGCUUUAAGAAAAUUAAACUGUGAGAGACUGCUACUUAGAAAACACACCCCAGAACUAUUUCUAGAUUCAUCUCCAUCUUGCUAUUUCAUGUAUCACUAUCUUUAGGCACAUCUUCAGGCUUCCACAAGAUUUCCAGGUUUGAUACUUUAGAUUAUUUUACCUUGGAAGCAGGGACAAUGACUCUUCCUUGUUCCUGCAAGCAGCAACCAUAAAAUGCCAGUGCUGUGACAACAAAUCAGCUAAAAUAAUUUUAAUUUAAAAACAUACCUCUCUCUUGUUUUGAACUCAGAAUACAAGUACAUCUAUAGACACAUGAUGUGAACCUAGUAAAUACAAGUAACAGAGGUGAAAAUGUGAAGAGAUUGAUAAGUGGUAUCUUCAAGAAACGGAUUCUUUGCCUAUCCCUCUUGUCUGCUUUCAGGCAGGAAAAAUCUUCCUUUUGAAGUGGGCCUUCUUGCUCUGUAUAAUGUAUCGGUCUGUAAUCAUCAGGAAAGCUAACAUUUUUCACCCAGAGGUAUUAAUUUAUUGAAGCUACUGACUGUGCACAAAAUAAUGUUUCUUAAAGGAAAGACAUUGCUGCCCCAAAUCACAGUGACAUGUAUGUCGGUGUCUAAAAGUUUUACAGAUUUUAUAUCACCAAAUUCACCAGAUCAAAGCACAUGGCUGUGACUAUUAAGGACACUAUGAUGCUGUAUUUCAGUCUGAGUGAUGAACUGUUAAAUGUGUCCCACCUAUGCAUACACCUAUGAAAUAAGACUCAGUAAAAAUUGUAUUACACAUGAAAUGGGAAAAAACCCCAAGAACAGGACAAGGCAGCUUUUCCUUUUUGUCUUGCAAAAAAGCUAUGAUUUUCUUAGAUAUUACCAUAGCUCUUUUAGUACGUUUCAGAAGUUUGAACUAUUCAUCAUGAAGGUAGAUCUGCUAAAAGCAUCAGCCGUUUAAAAAUAUCAAGCUAUAAAAAGUGGGCAGGCAGAGAGCUUACAACAAGUCCACUGUUCUAGGCUAAGCAUGGUCACUGAGCUGGGAACAAAACUGAGAGCUGGACAAAAAGGAGGUCCAGCCAUCUAGUGGUAAAUUACCCCUCUGUGCAGCCUGCUGGUGUCUGCCUUCUGGAGGGAUGCUGCAUCUCAGGGUUUUGGUGUGCUCUGGACAGGGAGAAAGGGACAAUGCCCAGAUUUUGAUUGGUUCAGGACUCAUAGUGAGACAUUUAAGGAGCAAGCCAAAGUGCAAAGGACCUGCAGCAAAACUGGGAGAAAGCAUCAACCACAUCACCAUAUGAACCACAAGGGCAGCUUUGGCUGAGUGGACAAGGAAGAGCCUGCACUCAGAAUUCUGCACUAUAAAGAACAUCUGUUUACAUGUGCCUGCUUACAGUGCUUGCUCACUUUCAGAAUACAUCUUUGUCCUAACGAGCUUAUUUAUACUUGGUACCCUGCCUGCAUCUGUACAGCAGCAGUCAGAGAAAAAAUUGGGCAGUUUUCCAUAAUCCCAUAGCAGAGAACAGCAUGUCCAAUGGGUAUGCACAACCAAAUGGUGCAAUGCACUUGUGUCCCACUUUACACAUGGAAAAGAAAGGUUUAAGCCAAAUUGUCACAUUUGAAACAAGGAUGAUGCAAUCAAACAACUAAAGAAAGCCAUAUGCUGAGUCCAAGCUGGAAUGAAACACCCAUAAAUUUAUUGAGAGUGAACUGUUUUAUAUUUUCUAUGUUGUUACAAAGCAAUAGAAAAAACCUUGGCAAAGCCAGAAUAGACAUCAAAACAGUAAACCAUUCAAUACUUCAAAGGAAGUUUAAAAACCAAACAAUUUGUAUGCUUGAAUACCUCUCAGAAUUCAGCCCAAUAUGCCAGAGCUCCCAUUGCAAAAGUGACCUCAGUCCUUAGAAGACCAAGACUCCUUGAAAGCAGUCAGAUGCAAGUCCUACAGGGCCUAGUUUGCAAAUUGCUUAGGCACUGAAAAGAUGCACAGUGGGAUGGUGUAAGCAAUCUGGAUAUGAAAUGACCAUUGGUGAACUCAUUUGACUAGCUAAUUUGACUGCUACUCAACACUUCUGAAAUAUCAAAUUUUGUCCAAAGCACAAUCCUGUCUUGGUUUACAGACACAUGAAGCUGCAUUGCAGGUUGUACUCAGCUUCCAAACACUGGCCAAAGUGCAGUCAUGGUUAUACCAGGCACUGCCAGGUGAAUAUUUCCAUGAAACUCCAGAUAGUUUACUUUCUGCUGUGAGAAUUUUUAUAACUGAAACAAAAGCUUUGUUCCAAAUAGUUAUUGCAGCAUGAACUGAUUUUAGCAGAAAUAUUUGUUCUUUAUCAGAAAACACAGUGGAGGGAGCACAGAGGAUAAUGCUUCCUUUGAGGUAUCCAAAAUCAACUUGGUGUUACUUGCUGACAGCCACUAAUGUAGAAAAGAGAUACAGCUGUGUCCUCCCAGAGUGGUAUCAGCCACUUUAUCUCAAACCCUCACUUCUCUUUGUGAAACGUUUCUGUUCCUCACAGUGGAUAGCUAAAAAAAAGCAGGGAGGAAACAUCUGGUUACUACUUUGAAAUGGUAUUUGCUAUUGAUUUUCCAAUGUAACACUAGAAAAUAGAGAUGCAAAUU